ACGGGUGAGUAACACGUGGGCAAUCUGCCCUUCACUCUGGGACAAGCCCUGGAAACGGGGUCUAAUACCGGAUAACACUUACCUCCUCCUGGGGGUGGGUUAAAAGCUCCGGCGGUGAAGGAUGAGCCCGCGGCCUAUCAGCUUGUUGGUGGGGUAAUGGCCUACCAAGGCGACGACGGGUAGCCGGCCUGAGAGGGCGACCGGCCACACUGGGACUGAGACACGGCCCAGACUCCUACGGGAGGCAGCAGUGGGGAAUAUUGCACAAUGGGCGAAAGCCUGAUGCAGCGACGCCGCGUGAGGGAUGACGGCCUUCGGGUUGUAAACCUCUUUCAGCAGGGAAGAAGCGCAAGUGACGGUACCUGCAGAAGAAGCACCGGCUAACUACGUGCCAGCAGCCGCGGUAAUACGUAGGGUGCGAGCGUUGUCCGGAAUUAUUGGGCGUAAAGAGCUCGUAGGCGGUCUGUCACGUCGGAUGUGAAAGCCCGGGGCUUAACCCCGGGUCUGCAUUCGAUACGGGCAGACUAGAGUGUGGUAGGGGAGAUCGGAAUUCCUGGUGUAGCGGUGAAAUGCGCAGAUAUCAGGAGGAACACCGGUGGCGAAGGCGGAUCUCUGGGCCAUUACUGACGCUGAGGAGCGA
Molecule: ribosomal RNA, 640 nt
Filed under: Streptomyces sp. I13A-01606
Lineage: Bacteria; Bacillati; Actinomycetota; Actinomycetes; Kitasatosporales; Streptomycetaceae
Description: bacterial SSU rRNA
Rfam family: Bacterial small subunit ribosomal RNA
Source: RNAcentral